This 253-nucleotide ribosomal RNA is filed under the name uncultured bacterium. Its description in RNAcentral is "partial 16S ribosomal RNA". It matches the Rfam family "Bacterial small subunit ribosomal RNA", at positions 524 to 776 of the family's 1533-position model. The record is from RNAcentral.
UACGUAGGUGACGAGCGUUAUCCGGAUUUACUGGGCGUAAAGCGCUUGUAGGUGGCUUUGUAAGUUGGGCGUGAAAACUCUGGGCUUAACCCAGAGACGCCGUCCAAUACUGCGAGGCUAGAGGAUGUCAGAGGAAGGUGGAAUUCCUGGUGUAGUAGUGAAAUGCGUAGAUAUCAGGAGGAACACCCGUGGCGAAGGCGGCCUUCUGGGGCAUUCCUGACACUGAGAAGCGAAAGCUAGGGGAGCAAACAGG